RNAcentral lists this small nucleolar RNA (46 nucleotides) under Pyrobaculum calidifontis JCM 11548. RNAcentral's name for it is "PCAsR111". The record is from RNAcentral. Lineage: Archaea; Thermoproteati; Thermoproteota; Thermoprotei; Thermoproteales; Thermoproteaceae.
AUGAAGGCAGGUGUGUGGCGACGAUGAGCGCAGGUGACACGGCUGA